AGCUCCUUAUGGAGCGAAGUCUUUGAUUCCCCGCUGCCAAGAAAAGCUUCUAGCGAGAUAAAAGGUGCCUGUACCGCAAACCGACACAGGUAGGCGAGGAGAGAAUCCUAAGGUGUGCGAGAGAACUCUGGUUAAGGAACUCGGCAAAAUGACCCCGUAACUUCGGGAGAAGGGGUGCUUUCUUAACGGAAAGCCGCAGUGAAUAGGCCCAAGCGACUGUUUAGCAAAAACACAGGUCUCUGCGAAGCCGUAAGGCGAAGUAUAGGGGCUGACACCUGCCCGGUGCUGGAAGGUUAAGGAGAGGGGUUAGCGCAAGCGAAGCUCUGAACUGAAGCCCCAGUAAACGGCGGCCGUAACUAUAACGGUCCUAAGGUAGCGAAAUUCCUUGUCGGGUAAGUUCCGACCCGCACGAAAGGUGUAACGAUUUGGGCACUGUCUCAACCAGAGACUCGGUGAAAUUAUAGUACCUGUGAAGAUGCAGGUUACCCGCGACAGGACGGAAAGACCCCGUGGAGCUUUACUGUAGCCUGAUAUUGAAUUUUGGUACAGCUUGUACAGGAUAGGCGGGAGCCUUUGAAGCCGGAGCGCUAGCUUCGGUGGAGGCGCUGGUGGGAUACCGCCCUGGCUGUAUUGAAAUUCUAACCUACGGGUCUUAUCGACCCGGGAGACAGUGUCAGGUGGGCAGUUUGACUGGGGCGGUCGCCUCCUAAAAAGUAACGGAGGCGCCCAAAGGUUCCCUCAGAAUGGUUGGAAAUCAUUCGUAGAGUGCAAAGGCAUAAGGGAGCUUGACUGCGAGACCUACAAGUCGAGCAGGGACGAAAGUCGGGCUUAGUGAUCCGGUGGUUCCGCAUGGAAGGGCCAUCGCUCAACGGAUAAAAGCUACCCCGGGGAUAACAGGCUUAUCUCCCCCAAGAGUCCACAUCGACGGGGAGGUUUGGCACCUCGAUGUCGGCUCAUCGCAUCCUGGGGCUGUAGUCGGUCCCAAGGGUUGGGCUGUUCGCCCAUUAAAGCGGUACGCGAGCUGGGUUCAGAACGUCGUGAGACAGUUCGGUCCCUAUCCGUCGUGGGCGUAGGAAAUUUGAGAGGAGCUGUCCUUAGUACGAGAGGACCGGGAUGGACGCACCGCUGGUGUACCAGUUGUUCUGCCAAGGGCAUAGCUGGGUAGCUAUGUGCGGAAGGGAUAAGUGCUGAAAGCAUCUAAGCAUGAAGCCCCCCUCAAGAUGAGAUUUCCCAUAGCGUUAAGCUAGUAAGAUCCCUGAAAGAUGAUCAGGUUGAUAGGUUCGAGGUGGAAGCGUGGUGACACGUGGAGCUGACGAAUACUAAUAGAUCGA
RNAcentral lists this ribosomal RNA (1331 nucleotides) under Bacillus pseudomycoides. Its description in RNAcentral is "partial 23S ribosomal RNA". It matches the Rfam family "Bacterial large subunit ribosomal RNA", at positions 1572 to 2912 of the family's 2925-position model. The record is from RNAcentral. Lineage: Bacteria; Bacillati; Bacillota; Bacilli; Caryophanales; Bacillaceae.